This 73-nucleotide transfer RNA is filed under the name Kwoniella dejecticola CBS 10117. RNAcentral describes it as "tRNA-Arg (CCT) (tRNA-Arg-CCT-1-1)". It matches the Rfam family "tRNA". Rfam says of the family: Transfer RNA (tRNA) molecules are approximately 80 nucleotides in length. Their secondary structure includes four short double-helical elements and three loops (D, anti-codon, and T loops). The record is from RNAcentral. Lineage: Eukaryota; Fungi; Basidiomycota; Tremellomycetes; Tremellales; Cryptococcaceae.
GGUCGCGUGGCCUAAUGGUUACGGCGUUUCCUUCCUAAGGUGAAGAUUGCGGGUUCGAUCCCCGCCGUGACUU